Molecule: long non-coding RNA, 3401 nt
Filed under: Sus scrofa (pig)
Lineage: Eukaryota; Metazoa; Chordata; Mammalia; Artiodactyla; Suidae
Description: lncRNA (ENSSSCG00060012570.1)
Source: RNAcentral
AGGCCCAGGAUGCCUGAUGCUGUGUGGAGGUGACACCUUCCAGCUCCCUCGGUGAUGCAGUGCUGGACCAAAACCUGCCCUGUGCAGCAAUGAUUGCGAGCCGUCUUCUCCCACGUGGCUGUGUUUGGCCCUGGUCCAUCAUCAAGUCAGUCCUACUGCUGUGAAAGGUUGUAAACUUGUUUGAGUUGGAUGUGUUCACUUGCAACCAGAAGAUGCAGAGGCGGUCAGUGCGAAGAUGGACAGAGAUUAUUCUAAGAAGGGCAAGGAAGUAAACGAGAAAGUCCUUUGCCCUCACUGCUGUUUGUAGUUACCGGUGAUAACUAAGCAGACAUGUGGAGAGGGAAAGUGUCUGGCUGAGAAAAUCACCAGAAAUGAUGGAGAUGGUGCCCUGAUAGAACUGGACCUGAAGCUCUGCACUUGUGUGCUUCAAUACAAACCAGGUUUCUGGACUCACACAGACUUGAAACCAAAGCCAGGCUUGACCACAGAUAGUUCGAGGCUCCAGGAUGUUCCUGAGAUGGCGAAGCUGGCAUCCCUCACGGUCUGAAGGCAGGGGAGGCCCUGAGCUAGCCAAGGAGACCUCACACUGGAACACGAUGAAACUGUCUGUCAGAUGAGGCAUUCUGUGCGCUCAUCCAUCAAAUCUGCACCCACCUCAGACCUAUAAUCCUGCAUAACCUUAUCCUUUAUUCCAGACUCUCCCAUCUCAGCUGGGCCCUCUUUCUCUCUGGCCCACACGGUGGUGGACAACCCCAAGUCCCAGGAACCAGGACACAUGUUGAAGGUCCUAGAAGUUACCACAUGGGAAUGAAUAAGGAAGAUGCAAAAUGUAGUGAAAGAGACCAGUCAUCUCCCACGGUGGGCCAAGAGCCACAGCCACCCAGAGUCUCCGAGUUAACGGCAAAGUCGGGAUUGAGCCCCAGCUGCCUCCUUGCUGCCCAGCUUACACACCUCUUGGAACGACCAUCAUCUCCCCUUGACACAGCUCUGGCCACAGGCUCUGCAAAGUGAGUCAUCUGAUGGCGCCAAGCUGCUCACGGCUUAUUAGACAGUAACACGGCGUGCACUCCAGAGCCUCCACUUCCAAACACAGCCAGUGGUGAGCGUGUUCUCGGAGUCACAAAGAUCACAUGCAGAGAGCCUUGGAGCAGGAGGGGAACCCAGAGGGCCUUGGAGAUCAGAGGCCCAGAGAGGGAAAGCGACCUGCCCAGGACCUCCUAGUAAACUGAUGAGACACGGUUUGAGAACCCUCUUUUUCGCCAGCCUGCACACCUCUGUCCUUAUGUUGCACACGCCCACGUGCCUCUGGCUGUCUUGGGGGCUCUGGAUUCGAUGGCUGGGCUUUCCCUCUCAAUGCAGGAGCCCUCAGUCGGUAAGCCUGCUCACCCCCUUGCUGAGCACCCCCUGGAAGCAAGAAAAUUGGAAAGAGACAGCUGGGCUGGAGUCUUAACUAUUUUAAUAACGUUUGGUACCAUGGCUGUUGCUGGGAGAUUAGCAGGGAAAUGUAACGGUGUGUAAUUUUUCCUAAGAAUUGCAUUAACAAAAUCAAAUGGGCAGAUGGAGGUGGAAGUUGGGGGGCAGGGAUAGAGCGCUUUCUGGAGGCUUCCUUGGGAGGGAGUUUCUAGGCUCAGGACCUCAGCAAAGCUCUGGGGUGUAAGUGAGAGCUUUCCUUGGGCCAUCUCUCAUCUUUCCUAUCCCUGCCUGUCCUCCAUGUGGGAGGAGAGGCAAGGCAGGGGAAAGAGAAGAAGGACUGGGUUCAAAUUUCUAUCCUGCUGCUUUCUCACGGGGGGGGGGGGGGGGNNGGGGGGGGCUUAGAUAAGUGGCUUUACCUCUCUUGAGUGUGUGCUUCCUUGCCUGUAGCUAGGGGUAGCCAUGCAAGGCUCUUCCAGGGAUCAGGAUGCUAAGCGUGGUGUCUGAUGCAGAGUGGCCUGGGAUGGACGCCUGUCUGGUUAACUCUCCAAAUGUCCACUCUCUGGCCCACCCAGAUCAUACCAUCUACCUCUCAUGCUCCACUUUCUAUAGCAGGAGGCUUCUCUGCAUGUCAGGCCAGGGCUGCGGCCAAGGACAAGGCCAGAGAAGGCAGGACCUCUUUCCUGCAUACAGGGAGCUGAGAAGGCCAGGCAUUCACAUCUACUUUUCUUCAGCCUGGCAGCAGAUUUAAGACACUACAGAGUGUGCUCUCAGCCAGAAUCACCCGAUCUGUCUCAAAAACCCUGAGAGAAAGGGGGCUACUGGGCCCCAUUUUACAGAUGGGGAAACUGAGGCUCGGACAGAUUGUCAGCAGGUCAGUAGCAGAAUUAAAAAUGGAGCAGAAAUACCAGAUGGGAAAUCCCAAAUUCUUCUUGCAACAUUCCUUUGUCAUAUAUCUUCCAUCCAACUUUUUACACAUUUUCUCAUUUUCUCUUUGGUUUGCUUUUGCACCAUCAACUAGACUGUAAGCUGCUUGAGGGUAGACCUUUGUGCUUACCCACUACGUUUCAUGAGACUUGGCACACAGCAUGUGCUCAGGUAAGACAUCAAAUUAAAUGGGCAGAGACCUGGUGAGGUACUAUUUCCUUAGUAAGUCCAGGCUCCGAGUUGUCCCUUUCUCCCACACUCCAGCCUACAUACACACACGCCACACACACAUGCCACGCACGCAUACACGGCUUGCAGAAUCUAAUAACAACCAGUUUAAAAACAUACUAAAAACAGAAAAUUUAUGUAGCAUGACCCAAAUUGAAUUAUACAUUACAGCACUAUAAUUGAUUUUUUAGAAGGAGAUUAAAUUUAUUUUAUGCCUCACUAACUAACAGCUAGAUUUACCUAAUUGCUUGGAGUGCAGAGUUAGUAUGAUUCAUUAAACUCCAUACAUGCUUGGGUACACUGCGCACUGAGUAAGCUUCCCUGCUCGCAGCAAUUAACCAGGAGAAACCCGAGGCGGCACCAGUAAUUGACGAGAACAAUUCAGCCUGAAGUUUGCUCUGGGUGUUUUAUUAAGUUCUUUGAGCAAAAUGCAGAUACUGAGCAUUCCAGUAAAGCGGUUCCAACAACAAAUCAAAGACAACUAACGUUUUUUCUUUCUCUCUCCACUCCCCCAACCCCUCCCCACUGUCACUGGGAGGGGAGGAAGGAAAGAGGAAAAGAAGCAAAACGUAAGCCUUGUCUCGAUUUAAUUACAUCAAUCAUAACAGUGUUUUAAAAAACCUCCCCAGCAUCUGACAGCAUGCAGGCAAAGUCAGCCAGUCUAACAAAGAGUGAGUUUGGGUGGAAUCAGAGAGCGUUCAGUAAUUAUAUACACAUUAUCAAAAAGGUAGCAAUUUAGGAAAAUGGGAAAAAAUAUGCUAAUUUUUGAGAGCAAGAGAAAAUUGGAACUCUCUGAACCAUUUAUUAAUUAUUAAUAAAGGACAUUUAAAGCUGCA